AGCUUUGCACAGUGGCAAUAUCGUAGCCAGUGAGGUUUAACCAAGGAGUGAUUAUUGCUAAUUGAAAAAAAUAAAAAUAAAAUAAAAUCUCUAGCAGAACUAGUUGGCAAAAAAAGAGAUUUUAAACCCUAGAAACAUGCUCUUGUAA
RNAcentral lists this small nuclear RNA (148 nucleotides) under Myotis davidii. RNAcentral describes it as "U4 spliceosomal RNA". It matches the Rfam family "U4 spliceosomal RNA". Rfam says of the family: U4 small nuclear RNA (U4 snRNA) is a component of the major U2-dependent spliceosome. The structure of U4 snRNA from yeast and human has been reported. U4 snRNA presents a k-turn RNA motif in the 5p-SL related to recognition of Snu13 protein. The record is from Rfam by way of RNAcentral. Lineage: Eukaryota; Metazoa; Chordata; Mammalia; Chiroptera; Vespertilionidae.